RNAcentral lists this ribosomal RNA (253 nucleotides) under uncultured bacterium. RNAcentral's name for it is "partial 16S ribosomal RNA". It matches the Rfam family "Bacterial small subunit ribosomal RNA", at positions 524 to 776 of the family's 1533-position model. The record is from RNAcentral.
UACGGAGGGUGCAAGCGUUAUCCGGAUUCACUGGGUUUAAAGGGUGCGUAGGUGGGCAGGUAAGUCAGUGGUGGAAUCUCUGGGCUUAACCCAGAAACUGCCGUUGAUACUAUCUGUCUUGAAUAUAGUGGAGGUGAGCGGAAUAUGUCAUGUAGCGGUGAAAUGCUUAGAUAUGACAUAGAACACCCAUUGCGAAGGCAGCUCGCUACACUAUUAUUGACACUGAGGCACGAAAGCGUGGGGAGCAAACAGG